GCCUGGGUGGCUCAGUUGGUUAAGCACCUGUCUUUGGCUUAGGUCGUGAUCCCAGGGUCUUGGGAUUGAGCCCCACCUCAGGCU
This 84-nucleotide transfer RNA is filed under the name Mustela putorius furo (domestic ferret). It matches the Rfam family "tRNA". Rfam says of the family: Transfer RNA (tRNA) molecules are approximately 80 nucleotides in length. Their secondary structure includes four short double-helical elements and three loops (D, anti-codon, and T loops). Lineage: Eukaryota; Metazoa; Chordata; Mammalia; Carnivora; Mustelidae. The record is from Rfam by way of RNAcentral.